This 253-nucleotide ribosomal RNA is filed under the name uncultured bacterium. Its description in RNAcentral is "partial 16S ribosomal RNA". It matches the Rfam family "Bacterial small subunit ribosomal RNA", at positions 524 to 776 of the family's 1533-position model. The record is from RNAcentral.
UACGUAGGGGGCAAGCGUUGUCCGGAUUCAUUGGGCGUAAAGAGCGUGUAGGCGGCCAGGUAGGUCGGUUGUGAAAACUGGAGGCUCAACCUUCAGAGGUCGACGGAAACCGCGUGGCUAGAGUCCGGAAGAGGAGAGUGGAAUUCCUGGUGUAGCGGUGAAAUGCGCAGAUAUCAGGAAGAACACCAAUGGCGAAGGCAGCUCUCUGGGACGGUACUGACGCUGAGACGCGAAAGCGUGGGGAGCGAACAGG